Molecule: unclassified non-coding RNA, 702 nt
Filed under: Hevea brasiliensis (rubber tree)
Lineage: Eukaryota; Viridiplantae; Streptophyta; Magnoliopsida; Malpighiales; Euphorbiaceae
Source: RNAcentral
GCACCCGGUGUGCUCUAAUUAAUGUCUUCGCGGUCAAAUCAGAUCUAACCUGAACAGACCUCUGCAGAAUCGAAAAUUCCUCUCUAUGCUGUGAACCACCAUGAACCACCAUUUCCUUCAAGUAUAACACGGAGCCCAUUCUUUAGCUCUUCUAGAAACUCAUCAGGCAAACUCUGCAUCUUUUCAGAAAUAAUAUCAACUCUUUCUCUUGCUAUGUCACGAAGAGAGAUCUUAUCAGCACUAGAAACGCGGUGAAUGACGGACUGUUCAUGGCAAUCAUUUUCUGCUUUACCAUUCUCCUGGCCAUGACAGCAUCAGCUGUAGGCCAAGUUUCUCUAGAACUAGCACUCUCAGUAGGGGACUCACGGAUAUUAUCUGAGUUUGAUCUGGGUUCUUGGGCAUCAGGAGACAGGCGAGGAUCUGAAGAGACUAGCGACAGGGAUGUCUGUAGUCCUCCUGGGCGAGGUUGCUGUCGUGGAGGCAACAUUUUUGCUGAAGGCUGGUGGUGGAUGUUAGAACCAGAUGAUGUACCCAUCAACCAAUGUUGCCUAAUCAGAGAAAACCGAGUUGAGCGGAUGGAGAGACGAAGCAAUAAGGUGUACACGGAAGAAGCAGAGAGAAGAAAAAGCGAAAGUUUCGAUCAAAGAGGUAGGACUUUUACUAUUUUGCCCCUGAGAGAAGAGUUUACCCAGAAAUACCCAC